ACUGGGCAUGGUGAUGCAUGCCUAUAAUCCUAGUGGCUCUGGAGGCUGAGACAGGAGGAUCUUGAGUUCAAAGCUAGCCUCAGCAAAAGCGAGGUGCUAAGCAACUCAGUGAGACCCUGUCUCUA
This 125-nucleotide small RNA is filed under the name Marmota monax (woodchuck). Lineage: Eukaryota; Metazoa; Chordata; Mammalia; Rodentia; Sciuridae. The record is from RNAcentral.